RNAcentral lists this non-coding RNA (93 nucleotides) under human gut metagenome. Its description in RNAcentral is "SAM riboswitch (S box leader)". It matches the Rfam family "SAM riboswitch aptamer (S box leader)". From Rfam's summary of the family: The SAM riboswitch is found upstream of a number of genes which code for proteins involved in methionine or cysteine biosynthesis in Gram-positive bacteria. The SAM riboswitch acts at the level of transcription termination control. RNAcentral also lists the same sequence under 1 other name. The record is from RNAcentral.
UCUUAUCAAGAGCGGCGGAGGGAACUGCCCUGUGAAGCCCGACAACCUGCCACGGCAAGGUGUCAAAUCAGCGGUCGGAUGUACCGGAGAUGA